RNAcentral lists this unclassified non-coding RNA (436 nucleotides) under Hevea brasiliensis (rubber tree). Lineage: Eukaryota; Viridiplantae; Streptophyta; Magnoliopsida; Malpighiales; Euphorbiaceae. The record is from RNAcentral.
AACUUUUUUUUUUUUCAUAAUGUAUGUCUUUCAAUUCUGUUAUCACAUCAUUAACAAAAUGGGCCUUUGAAUGUGUAUACAAGCAUGCCAACACCCUCGACAGGCUGGCCUAUACAUGUUUGUAUCAGUACUCAAUUGCCUUGAAAGAUCAUUUAGUAACUCAGUCAAUAAUGAAAGCGUCAGGAUUAAUUAUGCUAAGAAAACAUUUCAAAAACGAUUUUCUUGGAAAACAGGAACAAUUAUAAUGUAAGAGUUGACCUGUCCAAUUCGAUGAUAUUGAAAUGUUGGUGUUAAUUUAUAAGUUUUGUUUAUACUCGCUGUUUGUUUUCUUUUUGUUUGUUGUCUUUUGUUUGCUUAUGAAAUAUAACUUCAGUUUCAUCGUCAACAGGGGAAUGUGGUCAAGGAUGUUGAAGCUAAAGGAUUCAACCCAGGAUUG